UAUGUGAUCGUCUCUCGCAUAUCAAUAAGCGGAGGAAAAGAAACUAACAAGGAUUCCCCUAGUAACGGCGAGUGAAGCGGGAAGAGCUCAAAUUUGAAAUCUUAAAGGGUUUCCCUUUACGAAUUGUAGUUUAAAGAAGUGUUUUCUGUUGAGGUUUUGGUAAAAGUUCUUUGGAAUAGGACAUCAUAGAGGGUGAGAAUCCCGUAUUUGACCUUUACUUUCAACUUUGUGAUACACUUUCAAAGAGUCGGAUUGUUUGGGAAUGCAGUCCAAAAUGGGUGGUAAAUUUCAUCUAAAGCUAAAUAUUGGCGAGAGACCGGUAGCGAACAAGUACCGUGAGGGAAAGAUGAAAAGAACUUUGAAAAGAGAGUUAAACAGUACGUGAAAUUGUCAAAAGGGAAGCGUUUGACACCAGUGUUGUUUUUCUGAAAAUCAAUUAAAGAACUGCUUAUGCUAAGUUGUUUAGACUUUAUCAGCUAACUGUUUAGUUUUGAGCUUUUCUUUAAUGCACUUUUCAGUUAACAAGUCAACAUCAAUUUCUUUUGCUGUAAAAAAGCUUGAGGAAGGUGGCUUGAGAUUCGUCUUAAGUGUUUAUAGCCUCUUGCCUAUGCAGUCGGAGAGACUGAGGUCUGCAGCGUAGAUCCUUCGGGGCUAAAUGCAUUUGUGCUAAGUUAUAGCAUUUUAUAGACAACUUGUUGACUAUGAUUUGUCUUGUAGCUUACUCGCUUAUGUUAUUUUACCUACGCUUAGGAUGUUGAGUAGCGACAUACGCAC
Molecule: ribosomal RNA, 774 nt
Filed under: uncultured Neocallimastigales
Lineage: Eukaryota; Fungi; Neocallimastigomycota; Neocallimastigomycetes; Neocallimastigales
Description: partial large subunit ribosomal RNA
Rfam family: Eukaryotic large subunit ribosomal RNA
Source: RNAcentral